UGAGGAAUCUUGCGCAAUGGGGGAAACCCUGACGCAGCCACGCCGCGUGGGUGAAGAAGGCCUUCGGGUUGUAAAGCCCUGUCAGGUGGGAAGAACCGCAGUCUGGCCAAUACCUGGACUGCUUGACGGUACCACCAAAGGAAGCACCGGCUAACUCCGUGCCAGCAGCCGCGGUAAUACGGAGGGUGCAAGCGUUGUUCGGAAUUACUGGGCGUAAAGCGCGUGUAGGCGGACCGGUAAGUUGGGAGUGAAAGCCCUGGGCUCAACCCAGGAAGUGCUUCCAAUACUGCCGGCCUUGAGUUCCGGAGAGGGUGGUGGAAUUCCCCGGUGUAGAGGUGAAAAUUCGUAGAUAUCGGGAGGAACACCAGUGGCGAAGGCGACCACCUGGACGAGAACUGACGCUGAGACGCGAAAGCGUGGGGAGCAAACAGGAUUAGAUACCCUGGUAGUCCACGCCGUAAACGGUGUUCACUAGGUGUAGCGGGUAUUGACCCCCGCUGUGCCGCAGCUAACGAUUAAGUGAAACCGCCUGGGGAGUACGGCCGCAAGGUUAAAAACUCAAAGGAACUUGACGGGGUCAUAGCUGUUUCCU
This 592-nucleotide ribosomal RNA is filed under the name uncultured bacterium. Its description in RNAcentral is "partial 16S ribosomal RNA". It matches the Rfam family "Bacterial small subunit ribosomal RNA", at positions 355 to 1375 of the family's 1533-position model. The record is from RNAcentral.